Molecule: long non-coding RNA, 1401 nt
Filed under: Salmo salar (Atlantic salmon)
Lineage: Eukaryota; Metazoa; Chordata; Actinopteri; Salmoniformes; Salmonidae
Description: lncRNA (ENSSSAG00000093792.1, ENSSSAG00075067524.1)
Source: RNAcentral
CUACAGUUUCCAUGAGGGCAUUCCAUCUGCUUCCUGCCAUUCUUCCACAGGAAAUUCUGGGAACAGCGUCAGACAGGCCAUGGCAACCACUCCCACCUCACACUGAACCCACGGUAGAGGGCAAAUACACACAGACACACACUCAGGCCACAAGUUGAGAGAGCUGCCAUACACGGACACACUCAGAGAGACUCCAUACUCUCUCUAGUACGUUCAUGACAGUGGGUUCUCUUGCCCUGAGUGACCCCACACAUUUUACACAUUCAAUAAUACAUACACACAGUGGGAAUUUGCAAAGCUCCAGACAGAGGAAAAGCUGUGGAUUUGGACAUGGAUCUGCUUCUGUAUCCUGUCCCUCUGCUGAGUGUGUUUCUCCUCAUUCCAGCAGUUUCAGCCCAAUCUGCCAUCAAUCAGACCAACCAGAUAGAGGUUUCCAUGGUGACCUCACCCACAACACUGUCAUCCAACACUAUUCAUGUGGCUGGCAGCGUAACCACCCCAACUACAGCCCAUCCAAUGACUGAUGUGACAUCAUCCCCAGCACUCUCACCGCCAGGGAACAACCCUCUUGUGACAACCCUCAGUGUCCUGCAAUCAACAACCUCACCUGGAAAUGACAGCAGUGACAAUGAGGCACCCACAUCCUCACUUCGACUAUCGUGUCCUAAUGUCAGAAGCUCUGCUCAGACUAAAAUACCUAGUACGCACUCACAAGACACUGCUGCUGGACCAGUCUUAGGAUCAACAGCUGCUGCAACAGCAACUACUUCGACCUCUGUGACUUCCCCUGAGGGACCCAAAGGGACACACACAGACAUCCCUCCCACUCAGUCACCGGACAAGAGCCUCACCAUGCUCGCCUUUGGUGUCAUGAGUUUAAUCCUCAUUCUCGUCAUUAUCAUGGUGGUUUUAGUAACAGUGGUCAACCUAAAAGACAAGUGCAGCAACUCCAAGGAGGAAGGUAAAAAGAGCAGUGAUUCUGUGGUGUCUGAAAGCAAUGUCACGUUUAGUGGAGAAAAAGAGAGCAUCACUUUGAUCUCCAUGAAGACCAUUAACACAGAAACUGACACAGACUCCCCCCAGGUCUCCUCCAUUCACAGUACAACACUGGACUAUGAGGAGCAGGAGCUAAACACAGACCUACUGAACAAUAAGCUGGUGUGAAAAUAAAGACCCUAGAUGUUCCGUUCCAAAACACAGAAAUCACCAAACUACUCAAACAAAAUAGUACAGUGAUUGUUCUAUACAUCUGAGAUCAAGUUACCUGGAGUCCACACAGGACCUGAAUUCAUACCUGUGGGGAUAUUAUACAUUAAGCUAGAACUAGGCCUAUCGUUGUGUCUCAUGUUGCCAUUCUAAUACAAAUAUCACAUGUAUUUGUGUGAUGAUAUCAAAACUGCC